Molecule: ribosomal RNA, 433 nt
Filed under: uncultured bacterium
Lineage: Bacteria
Description: partial 16S ribosomal RNA
Rfam family: Bacterial small subunit ribosomal RNA
Source: RNAcentral
AACGAACGCUGGCGGCAUGCCUAACACAUGCAAGUCGAACGAGACCUUCGGGUCUAGUGGCGCACGGGUGCGUAACGCGUGGGAACCUGCCCUUAGGUUCGGAAUAACUCCCCGAAAGGGGUGCUAAUACCGGAUAAUGUCUUCGGACCAAAGAUUUAUCGCCUCUGGAUGGGCCCGCGUUGGAUUAGCUGGUUGGUAGGGUAAAAGCCUACCAAGGCGAGGAUCCAUAGCUGGUCGGAGAGGAUGAUCAGCCACACUGGGACUGAGACACGGCCCAGACUCCUACGGGAGGCAGCAGUGGGGAAUAUUGGACGAGGGACGAAAGCCUGAUCCAGCAGUGCCGGGUGAGUGAUGAAGGCCUUAGGGUUGUAAAGCUCUUUUACCCGGGAUGAUAAUGACAGUACCGGGAGAAUAAGCUCCGGCUAACUCCGUG